This 563-nucleotide ribosomal RNA is filed under the name uncultured bacterium. Its description in RNAcentral is "bacterial SSU rRNA". It matches the Rfam family "Bacterial small subunit ribosomal RNA", at positions 335 to 915 of the family's 1533-position model. The record is from RNAcentral.
ACUCCUACGGGAGGCAGCAGUGGGGAAUUUUGCGCAAUGGGGGAAACCCUGAUCCAGCCAUGCCGCGUGGGUGAAGAAGGCCUUCGGGUUGUAAAGCUCUUUUGGCGGGGACGAUAAUGACGGUACCGGAAGAAGAAGCCCCGGCUAACUCCGUGCCAGCAGCCGCGGUAAUACGAAGGGGGCGAGCGUUGUUCGGAAUUACUGGGCGUAAAGGGCGCGUAGGCGGCGACCCAAGUCAGAUGUGAAAGUCCUGGGCUUAACCUGGGGACUGCAUUUGAUACUGUCAGGCUUGAAUCCAGGAGAGGAUAGUGGAAUUCCCAGUGUAGAGGUGAAAUUCGUAGAUAUUGGGAAGAACACCUGUGGCGAAAGCGGCUCACUGGACCACAACUGACGCUGAGGCGCGAAAGCUAGGGGAGCAAACAGGAUUAGAUACCCUGGUAGUCCACGCCGUAAACGAUGAAGACUAGCUGUCCGGGCACAUGGUGCUUGGGUGGCGCAGCUAACGCGUUAAGCAAUCCGCCUGGGGAGUACGGUCGCAAGGCUGAAACUUAAAGGAAUUGACG